Molecule: ribosomal RNA, 378 nt
Filed under: Rhipicephalus turanicus
Lineage: Eukaryota; Metazoa; Arthropoda; Arachnida; Ixodida; Ixodidae
Description: partial large subunit ribosomal RNA
Rfam family: Archaeal large subunit ribosomal RNA (bases 248-378)
Source: RNAcentral
UUUAAUUGAAUGCUAAGAGAAUGGAAACCCAGAAAAAGACUUUUUUUAAAUUAAAAAUUGAAAUUUUUUUAAUUUGUGCAGAAACAAUUAUUAAUAUUAAGGACAAGAAGACCCUAUGAAUUUAUAAAAUUUUAUUUAAUAUGUUAUAACUAUUAAAAAAAUUUUGGCUGGGGCGGCUAAAAAAUAUUUUAAACUUUUUAAAAAUAAAAUGAUCCAUUAUUAAUGAUUACAUGUUAAAUACUCUAGGGAUAACAGCGUUAUAUUUUUUGAUAGAUCAUAUUGACAAAAAAGUUUGCGACCUCGAUGUUGGAUUAGGAUACUUUUUUAAUGUAGAUAUUAAAAUAAGAAGUUUGUUCAACUUUUAAAAUCCUACUUGAU